Molecule: non-coding RNA, 117 nt
Filed under: Nomascus leucogenys (northern white-cheeked gibbon)
Lineage: Eukaryota; Metazoa; Chordata; Mammalia; Primates; Hylobatidae
Source: Rfam by way of RNAcentral
GCCGGGUGUGGUGGCUCACGCCUGUAAUCCUAGCACUUUGGGAGGCUGGGGUGGGUGGAUCACCUGAGGUCAGGAGUUCAAGACCAGCCUGGCCAACAUGGUGAAACCCCGUCUCUA